Molecule: ribosomal RNA, 555 nt
Filed under: Lachnospiraceae bacterium
Lineage: Bacteria; Bacillati; Bacillota; Clostridia; Lachnospirales; Lachnospiraceae
Description: partial 23S ribosomal RNA
Rfam family: Bacterial large subunit ribosomal RNA
Source: RNAcentral
CUGACUGCGACACCGACGGGUGGGGCAGGUACGAAAGUAGGGCUUAGUGAUCCGGUGGCUUAAAGUGGGAUUGCCAUCGCUCAACGGAUAAAAGCUACCCUGGGGAUAACAGGCUUAUCACUCCCAAGAGUUCACAUCGACGGAGUGGUUUGGCACCUCGAUGUCGGCUCAUCGCAUCCUGGGGCUGCAGCAGGUCCCAAGGGUUGGGCUGUUCGCCCAUUAAAGCGGUACGCGAGCUGGGUUCAGAACGUCGUGAGACAGUUCGGUCCCUAUCCGGCGCGGGCGGAGGAAGUUUGAGAGGAGCCGUCCCCAGUACGAGAGGACCGGGAUGGACGGGCCGCUGGUGGACCUGUUGGCGCGCCAACGCCAUGGCAGGGUAGCCAAGCCCGGACGGGAUAAACGCUGAAGGCAUCUAAGCGUGAAGCCCCCCUCAAGAUGAGACGUCCCAUCGAAAGAGUAAGACCCCUUGGAGAACACGAGGUGGAUAGGGCAGAGGUGGAAGUGCAGAGAUGGAUGGAGCUGACUGCCACUAAUCGGUCGAGGGCUUGACCAGAA